UGGGGAAUAUUGGACAAUGGGCGAAAGCCUGAUCCAGCCAUGCCGCGUGGGUGAAGAAGGCCCUAGGGUUGUAAACCCCUUUCAGCGGGGAAGAUAAUGACGGUACCCGCAGAAGAAGCCCCGGCUAACUCCGUGCCAGCAGCCGCGGUAAUACGGAGGGGGCUAGCGUUGUUCGGAAUUACUGGGCGUAAAGCGCGCGUAGGCGGACCUGCAAGUCGGGGGUGAAAGCCCGAGGCUCAACCUCGGAACUGCCUUCGAUACUGCGGGUCUCGAGUCCGGGAGAGGUGAGUGGAAUUCCUAGUGUAGAGGUGAAAUUCGUAGAUAUUAGGAAGAACACCAGUGGCGAAGGCGGCUCACUGGCCCGGUACUGACGCUGAGGCGCGAAAGCGUGGGGAGCAAACAG
Molecule: ribosomal RNA, 403 nt
Filed under: uncultured bacterium
Lineage: Bacteria
Description: bacterial SSU rRNA
Rfam family: Bacterial small subunit ribosomal RNA
Source: RNAcentral